UGUUUCCAAGAUGUUUCGUCUAUCGGUUGCAUCACCUGAACUAUACGCGAGACGGUCCCUUUUAGACUGUCCCGAAUGCUAUAUCUAUGUUUUCAUGUUGAACCUCCCAGCUAAACUCAGCUGGUAUGUUCUCGACCGGAAAACAUCAGGUCCUAGUACAGCUAAGAGCUAACAAUCUCUUGGUGGCUGUUCCCUUGCUCCACUUACAUAGUUAUAUGUCUCUACGUUCAAGCUUAGCCGUCGUUGGUUCAACAAUCUUUGUCAUGAGUGCUUGUCUGUAUUG
Molecule: long non-coding RNA, 283 nt
Organism: Arabidopsis thaliana (thale cress)
Lineage: Eukaryota; Viridiplantae; Streptophyta; Magnoliopsida; Brassicales; Brassicaceae
Product: other RNA
Exons: 1
Source: RefSeq